RNAcentral lists this ribosomal RNA (338 nucleotides) under uncultured eukaryote. Its description in RNAcentral is "partial 18S ribosomal RNA". It matches the Rfam family "Eukaryotic small subunit ribosomal RNA", at positions 594 to 945 of the family's 1831-position model. The record is from RNAcentral.
AUAGCGUAUAUUAAAGUUGUUGCAGUUAAAAAGCUCGUAGUUGAAUUUCUGGCCAGCGCUGUUCUUGGCUCUCUGAGUCGGCUCAGUGUUUGGUCAUCCGUAUGGGAAGCUAGCUCGGCCUUCACUGGUCGGCUAGUGGAUCAUACACUUUACUUUGAAAAAAUUAGAGUGUUUCAGGCAGGCAAUUGCUUGGAUACUUCAGCAUGGAAUAAUGGAAUAGGACUUUGACCUAUUUGUUGGUUUCUGAGAUCGCCGUAAUGAUUAAUAGGGAUAGUUGGGGGCAUUUGUAUUCCGACGUCAGAGGUGAAAUUCUUGGAUUGCCGGAAGACUAACUUCUG